GCGGGCGUGGCGAAAUCGGUAGACGCACCGGACUUAAAAUCCGUCGGGCCUGGCCCAUGGGGGUUCAAGUCCCCCCGCCCGCACCA
RNAcentral lists this transfer RNA (86 nucleotides) under Alphaproteobacteria bacterium HGW-Alphaproteobacteria-16. RNAcentral's name for it is "tRNA-Leu". It matches the Rfam family "tRNA". From Rfam's summary of the family: Transfer RNA (tRNA) molecules are approximately 80 nucleotides in length. Their secondary structure includes four short double-helical elements and three loops (D, anti-codon, and T loops). The record is from RNAcentral. Lineage: Bacteria; Pseudomonadati; Pseudomonadota; Alphaproteobacteria.